Molecule: ribosomal RNA, 301 nt
Filed under: uncultured bacterium
Lineage: Bacteria
Description: partial 16S ribosomal RNA
Rfam family: Bacterial small subunit ribosomal RNA
Source: RNAcentral
CAGCCGCCGCGGGAAUACGUAGGUGGCAAGCGUUGUCCGGAAUUAUUGGGCGUAAAGGGCUCGCAGGCGGUUUCUUAAGUCUGAUGUGAAAGCCCCCGGCUCAACCGGGGAGGGUCAUUGGAAACUGGGAAACUUGAGUGCAGAAGAGGAGAGUGGAAUUCCACGUGUAGCGGUGAAAUGCGUAGAGAUGUGGAGGAACACCAGUGGCGAAGGCGACUCUCUGGUCUGUAACUGACGCUGAGGAGCGAGAGCGUGGGGAGCGAACAGGAUUAGAUACCCCUGUAGUCCCUGUCUCUUAUAC